Small nuclear RNA from Orcinus orca (killer whale), 105 nucleotides. The record is from RefSeq and is a predicted model, not a curated record. Lineage: Eukaryota; Metazoa; Chordata; Mammalia; Artiodactyla; Delphinidae.
GGGCUCGCCUCGGCAGCACAGAUACUAAAACCAGGACGAUACAGAGAAGGUUAGCGUGGCCCCUGUGCAAGGAUGACACAAAUUCAUGAAGCGUUCCAUGUGUUU